RNAcentral lists this transfer RNA (82 nucleotides) under Tuber borchii (whitish truffle). Its description in RNAcentral is "tRNA-Pro". It matches the Rfam family "tRNA". From Rfam's summary of the family: Transfer RNA (tRNA) molecules are approximately 80 nucleotides in length. Their secondary structure includes four short double-helical elements and three loops (D, anti-codon, and T loops). The record is from RNAcentral. Lineage: Eukaryota; Fungi; Ascomycota; Pezizomycetes; Pezizales; Tuberaceae.
GCCUGAAUGGUCUAGUGGUAUGAUUCCUGCUUUGGGACUCCAGAAAUGCAGGAGGUCUCCGGUUCAAUCCCGGAUUCAGGCC